Molecule: long non-coding RNA, 2216 nt
Organism: Antechinus flavipes (yellow-footed antechinus)
Lineage: Eukaryota; Metazoa; Chordata; Mammalia; Dasyuromorphia; Dasyuridae
Exons: 2
Source: RefSeq, a predicted model, not a curated record
CAUCUAGUCCAGCACUUUCACUUCACAGAUGAACAGAGGUCCAUGAAAGCUAAAUAACUUGCAAGAUUUGAACCCUGAGCUCUGCCUUUCCUCUGUACCAUGCUGCCUCCCAUAGCCUUCAUUCUGUUCUCUGGACUCCUUCAGAAUAUACCUAAUUUUUCUUUUAUGAGAGCACUUCAAAUAUCCAAAGGGAAUAAAAGUUGAUGAACUAGUAUUUAAAUGAAGGGGUGAAGUUAAAUCAAGAUCUCAGGAUAAAAGGGCACUAGAUGGCACAGUGGAUAGAAUGCCAGGCCUGGAAUCAGGGAGAUGUGAAUUCAAAUUUGAUCUCAGACACUUAUUGACAGUGUGAUCCCUGUUUGCCUCAGUUUUCUCAUCUGACAAAUGAACUAGUGAAAAAAUGGCAAACCACUCUAGAAUCUCUGCCAAGAAAAUCUCAAAUGGGGACACAGAGAACUGGACACGAUAGAGAUUAUUGAACCACAACAAAUAAUGCAGGGGAAAAUGUAGCCAGAACUCAACAGUUUGAGAUCUUUAGAGGCAACUAGGUGGUGCAGACCUAGGUCAGAAAGACCCAAAUUCAAAUUUAGCCUUAAACACUGAUUAGCUGUGAGAUCCUGGGCAAGCCACUUAACCUUCCAGAGAGCUACCUCAGUUUUUUCAGCUAUAAAAUGGGGAUAACAGCACCUACCUCUCAGGGUUAUUAUGAGGAUCAAAUAAGAUAGUUGUAAAGUACUUUGUAAUCAUUAAAGUACUAUUAAAUGCGUAUACUAUUAUGAUGGUUAUUAUCAUUAGUAGUUCACUGAAACCAUGUUUUCUGAACUUGGAUUUAGGAGACCUCAUUCAAGGCCCUCUGACAAUUAUUAGCAUUGGGCAAGUCAUUUUAUUUCUCUGAUGCUCAGUUUUCUCACUUUUAAAAUGGGGAUAUAAUCAUAUUUUUACUACUGACUUCACAAAAUGUUGUAAGGAUUCAAACUAUAAAACUUGUGAACUCGGUGCUAUAUGAGUCAAUUAUCAUUUUUUCCAAAUUUCUAUAAACUGAAAGCUCAUAAAAUGCUCCUCAUACACUAUUGCAAUUAUUUUGUAUGGCAUUAUAUAUGUACAUGUCUUCCCUGAUAGAAUAUAAGCUUGUUGAGAGUAGAAAUUGUUUCUUUUUUUUUUUUUUUUUGAUUUGUAUCUCCAGUGUUUAGCAUUGAAGAAGCUUAAGAAAUGUUUGUUGAUUAAUUAAUUAGCUAGUUGAUCUUUACAACAGCUAAGGUAAAUAUGAUCAUUAUUUCCAUUUUAUAUCUGAAGAAAUCAAGGCUUGGACAAGUUAAGUGACUUAGUUAGCUUGUAUGUGUAUGAGGCUGGAUUCUAAUGCUGCUCUUCCUGACUCCAAAUUCAGCACGUCAGACACAAUGACAAGCUGCCUCUCAUGAGUUAUAGGAAAAUACAACUUUAUGGGCUGUUAUUUCUGUAGGAACAAUGUUAUAAAGAUAACCCUAGUACAGUAUUUGUUAUAAUAGAUUCAUAAUAAUAUUGCUGAACUACACCCACCAAUGUCAACAAUAUUAUGUGGAAUAUACCAAUAUUGUUUCUUUUUCAGCUAUGGAAUUCUACUAUUCUCCUGGCUCCUCAGGCUUUCCUUCUCCUCACUAAACAUUGCCAGUUCCUUUUGACUGAGUUUCUGUAAGACUCGUCUGCCCACAAGAAAAGGAGCAUCUAGAUAGCGGAUUGAACAUUCCUGGGGGAAGGAAGACCUGAGUUCAAAUCCAGUCUCAGAUAUUUCCUCGCUGUGUGACCCUGAGCAAGUCAUUUCACCCUGUCUGCCUCAGUUUCCUCAUCUGUAAAAGAACUGGAGAAGGAAAUGGCAAACCACUCCAAUAUUUUUUGCUAAGAAAAGCUCAAAUGGUGUCAUGAAGAUUCAAGACUCAGACUGAAAUAAAUGAACAAUAAAAUUCCUCAUCUGUAAAAUGAGUUUUAGAAUUCUAAAGCUAUAAUCAUACGAAGUGGCUGGGGUAACUAGGGAUAGGUAUGUGCUAAACACCUGUGAGACAGAGUGAAGGCUCCAAGGACUUAUACUUGCAGAUCCUAGGGAAUGUCUCCCCUCAGAGGAAAUUGACUUCUAUGUCAUUUUUUAUUUUAUUUCUUUGUUUUUGUGAGAUGGGUAUAUUAGGUUGCUUCUGAGGUCCCUUCCAUCUCUGAUCCCAGGAAUUUAGCACUCUACCCACUAUAUCACA